GUUGGGGUAUUUUAAUGAAAAAGCAAAAUUUGCAAUUUUGUAUUGAGUAUGUACUCUCUCAACU
This 64-nucleotide transfer RNA is filed under the name Acanthocardia tuberculata (tuberculate cockle). RNAcentral describes it as "tRNA-Ala". The record is from RNAcentral. Lineage: Eukaryota; Metazoa; Mollusca; Bivalvia; Cardiida; Cardiidae.